GGGCGAGGGUGGGAAAAGCUGGGGGGGGGGAUGCGAAGGCGAGAGAAAGAGAGAGAGGAAAAAUGGGAGGGGCAACCCCCCCAGCUUUUCCCACCUUCGCCCUCUCCCCUAAA
Molecule: non-coding RNA, 113 nt
Organism: Paramuricea clavata
Lineage: Eukaryota; Metazoa; Cnidaria; Anthozoa; Malacalcyonacea; Plexauridae
Source: the annotation of a GenBank genome assembly